Tupaia belangeri chinensis (Chinese tree shrew) is the source of this 293-nucleotide long non-coding RNA. RefSeq lists it as uncharacterized. The record is from RefSeq and is a predicted model, not a curated record. NCBI's taxonomy places the organism in Eukaryota, Metazoa, Chordata, Mammalia, Scandentia, Tupaiidae. The transcript is spliced from 3 exons.
UUGGAGUCCCAGACUCAGAGGCUUAAAACUCACGACAGGCCUUGAUCAUUUAAAAAAAAAUAUGAUGAGACAGAAUGCAUAGGCACCUUAAAGUGACUUACUCCAUCUGACCAAGAGGUCUCCUAAUGAGUUAUGUUUAUAUUACUCUUUAAAUGGUACCUACUGCUAAAGUACAACCGAAACGUUUUUGUGCUUUUGUGCUGAGGUUAAAAUAUACCAAGAAUAAAGGUAGCAAAGGUUUGGAAUAUUCAGUUGAUCUCCAAGGAUAUUGUGAAAUCCUAGUUCUCCAGCAU